GCACUGCUGAAUUCAGCAGGAAUGACUAAGAGGGUAACACCGUUGUCUGUCUACUGAGAUGGAAGCAGAGGAGGGUGAGCGGCUUUGUGGGGGAAGAUGAAGUCAGCUCUGUGAGGUGACAGCACUGCCAAUAACCAAGGGCCCUUGGUAUGUGCCUACUGUGUGCUACGUGUGGGAGGCAUGUUUCCCUGCUCACCCAGCUUCAUGAGGAAGAGUGAUUUUAUUAACACAAUCUGAAAUGGCUAAAAUUAAAGACUGACUUUCCAAGUGUUGGUAUGAAUGUGGAGGAACUGGAACUCUGAAACAUUUUCAGUGGAAAUGCAAAAAUGGUCCAGCUACUUUUGAAAACAGUUUCUUAUAAGUGUAAAUAUUCCUAUGACCCAGCAAUGUACUCCUGAGUAUUUACUCAAGAGGAAUAAAAACAUGUUCACGCAAA
Molecule: long non-coding RNA, 436 nt
Organism: Galeopterus variegatus (Sunda flying lemur)
Lineage: Eukaryota; Metazoa; Chordata; Mammalia; Dermoptera; Cynocephalidae
Exons: 2
Source: RefSeq, a predicted model, not a curated record